RNAcentral lists this ribosomal RNA (429 nucleotides) under Actinomycetes bacterium. Its description in RNAcentral is "Actinobacteria bacterium partial 16S ribosomal RNA". It matches the Rfam family "Bacterial small subunit ribosomal RNA", at positions 355 to 776 of the family's 1533-position model. Lineage: Bacteria; Bacillati; Actinomycetota; Actinomycetes. The record is from RNAcentral.
UAGGGAAUCUUCCGCAAUGGGCGAAAGCCUGACGGAGCAACGCCGCGUGAGUGAUGAAGGUCUUCGGAUCGUAAAACUCUGUUAUUAGGGAAGAACAAAUGUGUAAGUAACUAUGCACGUCUUGACGGUACCUAAUCAGAAAGCCACGGCUAACUACGUGCCAGCAGCCGCGGUAAUACGUAGGUGGCAAGCGUUAUCCGGAAUUCUUGGGCGUAAAGCGCGCGUAGGCGGUUUUUUAAGUCUGAUGUGAAAGCCCACGGCUCAACCGUGGAGGGUCAUUGGAGACUGGAAAACUUGAGUGCAGAAGAGGAAAGUGGAAUUCCAUGUGUAGCGGUGAAAUGCGCAGAGAUAUGGAGGAACACCAGUGGCGAAGGCGACUUUCUGGUCUGUAACUGACGCUGAUGUGCGAAAGCGUGGGGAUCAAACAGG